AACGCACCUUGCGCUCCUUGGUAUUCCGAGGAGCAUGCCUGUUUGAGUGUCAUGAAACCCUCAACCUCUGACUUUCUUAAUCGUCGGUCAGCGGCUUGGACUUGGGUGUCUGCCGGUCUUUAUUGAUCGGCUCACCUGAAAUAUAUUAGCGAAUCCCUUCUGUAAUCGGUUCCACUCGACGUGAUAAGUAUUUCGUCGAGGACAUCUUUAUUGAUGGCCGAGAUAAAGCUGGUUCUAGAUCUGCUUCUAACUCUUUCGUUGCCUUCUGGUAAAGAAAAACCCCUCAUGAUCUGGCCUCAAAUCAGGUAGGACUACCCGCUGAACUUAA
Molecule: unclassified non-coding RNA, 328 nt
Filed under: uncultured Itersonilia
Lineage: Eukaryota; Fungi; Basidiomycota; Tremellomycetes; Cystofilobasidiales
Description: sequence contains ITS2
Rfam family: 5.8S ribosomal RNA (bases 1-52)
Source: RNAcentral